GGCAUGUGAAUCUCCUAUACCCUUUGAAGAACUGCAUGACAAAGUUGCAGACUUUUUGAUACCACUCUUCAGUGAGAUAAAGGUAUUCUUCUAACACCACAGUCCUUCAACCGAGGAUCCAAUUCCUUUGAUCAAUCUCGUUCUCAGGAGACUCAACGCAGGAGGAAUAACAACAAUUAUUCCAACUACAACAAUAAUGCUCCAUGCAUUAUCUAUCAGCUGUGUGAUACCUUUGGUCAUUCGGCUAAGCAAUGCCGCCAAUGGAGAGGCUUUUCUCUUAUCUUCUCUCGUCCUCCUACACCAUAUCAUUCAUGCAAUCAACUAGCUGCU
RNAcentral lists this long non-coding RNA (330 nucleotides) under Elaeis guineensis (African oil palm). RNAcentral describes it as "long non-coding RNA (EGUI_LNC020869)". Lineage: Eukaryota; Viridiplantae; Streptophyta; Magnoliopsida; Arecales; Arecaceae. The record is from RNAcentral.